AUUAGCUUGUUGGUGGGGUAAAGGCCUACCAAGGCGACGAUCAGUAGCGGGUCUGAGAGGAUGAUCCGCCACACUGGAACUGAGACACGGUCCAGACUCCUACGGGAGGCAGCAGUGUUUAAUUUUGGACAAUGGGGGCAACCCUGAUCCAGCCAUUCCGCGUGAGUGAAGAAGGCCUUCGGGUUGUAAAGCUCUUUCAGCUGGAACGAAACGGUAGUCUCUAACAUAGGCUGCUAAUGACGGUACCAGCAGAAGAAGCACCGGCUAACUACGUGCCAGCAGCCGCGGUAAUACGUAGGGUGCGAGCGUUAAUCGGAAUUACUGGGCGUAAAGCGUGCGCAGGCGGAUUGUUAAGCAAGAUGUGAAAUCCCCGGGCUUAACCUGGGAAUGGCAUUUUGAACUGGCAAUCUAGAGUGUGUCAGAGGGGGGUAGAAUUUCCACGUGUAGCAGUGAAAUGCGUAGAGAUGUGGAGGAAUACCGAUGGCGAAGGCAGCCCCCUGGGAUAACACUGACGCUCAUGUACGAAAGCGUGGGUAGCAAACAGGAUUAGAUACCCUGGUAGUCCACGCCCUAAACGAUGUCAACUGGUUGUUGGGAGAGUGAAAUCUCUUAGUAACGAAGCUAACGCGUGAAGUUGAUCGCCUGGGGAGUACGGUCGCAAGAUUAAAACUCAAAGGAAUUGACGGGGACCCGCACAAGCGGUGGAUGAUGUGGAUUAAUUCGAUGCAACGCGAAAAACCUUACCUACCCUUGACAUGUCCAGAAUCCUGCAGAGAUGCGGGAGUGCCCGAAAGGGAAUUGGAACACAGGUGCUGCAUGGCUGUCGUCAGCUCGUGUCGUGAGAUGUUGGGUUAAGUCCCGCAACGAGCGCAACCCUUAUCAUUAGUUGCUACGCAAGGGCACUCUAAUGAGACUGCCGGUGACAAACCGGAGGAAGGUGGGGAUGACGUCAAGUCCUCAUGGCCCUUAUGGGUAGGGCUUCACACGUCAUACAAUGGUCGGUACAGAGGGUUGCCAAGCCGCGAGGUGGAGCCAAUCCCAGAAAGCCGAUCGUAGUCCGGAUUGUUCUCUGCAACUCGAGAGCAUGAAGUCGGAAUCGCUAGUAAUCGCGGAUCAGCAUGUCGCGGUGAAUACGUUCCCGGGUCUUGUACACACCGCCCGUCACACCAUGGGAGUGGAAUCUGCCAGAAGUAGGUAGCCUAACCGCAAGGGGGGCGCUUACCCCGGUGGGUUUCAUGACUGGGGUGGAGUCGUAACAAGGUAGCCG
Molecule: ribosomal RNA, 1267 nt
Filed under: uncultured Thiobacillus sp.
Lineage: Bacteria; Pseudomonadati; Pseudomonadota; Betaproteobacteria; Nitrosomonadales; Thiobacillaceae
Description: bacterial SSU rRNA
Rfam family: Bacterial small subunit ribosomal RNA
Source: RNAcentral